UCUUUCCCUAGAGAAACUUGAAUAAUGCUGAAUUCAGAUGAAUCAUUUUAAUCACAUCACAAAAAACAAAUAUGCCAAGAUCUGGGGAGGAAAUCUUCCAAAACAAUGGCUGCAGGGCACUGUUCCUUCCAAGUGCAUGAAGAAGGAACACUAUACACCCCACUGCAUGCUGGGAGCUAUUCUCUCGAGUCCCCCUUGUUGAGCUCAGUUUGACCAUGCAGUGAGAAUAUCCAAGUGCAUUGAAGACUGAAAACAGAGGGCUACGCUACAAGCUCAUUCAGCCCGGCAAGACAGCAGGCAAUGUCUCAUCAACGCUGAGCCACAAAAUGAACUCAGAGUGAGGGCUGAGAUGGGUGUGUGUCAGGGACAUGACCGCGGGCACCUACAUUCUGGAGAUAUUAUGUCACAAAGGAGUAGUUCUGGCCCUGGGGCGCUGUACACCCUGGUCUCAUCAUUACCAACGCUCCAAUCGCUCCUGUCAACUGUCACUGGAAGGUCUAUUCUCCUGACUGUCAGGCCUACCCCUCAGACACUCCAUCAACCUACUGAGAAAUCCAAGCUGCCUUUAAGGAAAAGUUUUUUUUUUAAAGAUACAGAAACAACAACAAAUUGCUGUUCAAAUGUUUAUCUUAUAUAGUGAAGAUACACAGGUAACUGCCAAAAAAAAAAAAA
This is a non-coding RNA of Oncorhynchus mykiss (rainbow trout), 672 nucleotides long. The record is from RefSeq and is a predicted model, not a curated record. NCBI's taxonomy places the organism in Eukaryota, Metazoa, Chordata, Actinopteri, Salmoniformes, Salmonidae.